This is a long non-coding RNA of Leptopilina heterotoma, 929 nucleotides long. RefSeq lists it as uncharacterized. Lineage: Eukaryota; Metazoa; Arthropoda; Insecta; Hymenoptera; Figitidae. The record is from RefSeq and is a predicted model, not a curated record. The transcript has 6 exons.
UGUUUCAUAACAAAGUUCUUUCUGUUUUUUUGUUAAAUAUUCCAAAGAAAUCGUGCAUAUUUAUAUAUUACAUCUCAACAAAUUUUUGCUUUAAAACUGAAUAACAACCAUCAAAAAGUAAUUGUGUAGGAAAAAUGAUUGAAUUGGUGAAUUGAAAAAAGUACACAAUGAAAUGUUGACGAACGUAUACAUUUUGAGAAUCGCUCCAACCAUUGUUCGCAUCCUUGAACGUGCCGAAUUCAUACUUUCUGUUUAAAGAAAGAUAAAAAUGCAUUUUCCGAACAUCCAUUGUCCAGGGGUCAGUUUUUAUUAUCCCGGCGAGAUGGCGGUCCAGCAAAGGAAACAAUAAUUUGGAACAUUCUGCAAAAAAAAUUUCCAAAAUAUUACGUGGCUCAGUGAAAACCAAUAAGACAAUAAAAUUCAAACACUUUUUUUCGGAAAAUCGUUCGAAAAUACGGGAUUCAAUAGGAUGUGAUACUGACCGAGGAGUAUUGGAGAAAGGUGAUACUAAUUGUUAAAAAUUAGUAAAUUCUACGAAAGUAAAGGGAUUCAAGCGAAAUGGUGUUUUUUGUCUCAAUGGAAAGGAAAAGAAAGGAAAGGAAAGGAAAUGAUCAACGAAGACAUGUGUUGCAUAUAAAAAAACUCAAGGGAAGUUUUGUGGUCAUUGGGUGACUUCAAUUUCUGCAGAAGGCCUGUUUGGUCAGUAAUUAAAGGAACUCUUGCAGCUCCAGAAGAAGAGAUGUCUGCUCACAGGAAUCUUAUUUGCUGUCAUCGUAUCCUUAUUACUGCUAUGCUAUAAUAGUCAUAAUAGUUAUUUCCCGCAUUAUUCUAAAGGAUUCUCAAGAGAUUACUACUACUCUAUUAUACUACUCUGCUCAACUAUAAGGGUUACUCUAAAGGAUAAGGAGGAUGUAGGAGAAGAAAAGUGG